This is a long non-coding RNA of Acanthochromis polyacanthus (spiny chromis), 2377 nucleotides long. RefSeq lists it as uncharacterized. The transcript has 2 exons. The record is from RefSeq and is a predicted model, not a curated record. NCBI's taxonomy places the organism in Eukaryota, Metazoa, Chordata, Actinopteri, Pomacentridae.
GCAGUUGCGACUCCGGUGCAUGAAAGGUGCGAGGAGUGAUCAUCUUUUUUUUUAUAAGCUAUCUUUGACGUUUUUUGCCUUCCUGCUUGCGGUGCUGGGUGGUGUCUGUCGUCCUGGAUUUUUGGAAUUUGAAAAGAAUAGAGAAGAAAAGAAAAUAGAGGAGAUAGCAGACUGGAACAUCACUGGAUACUUUGGAGUUUCCAAGGAGCUGUCAUUUUGUGCGGCUAUUGACCGAGUGAAGGAAAAUCAUUCCCGGCUGGUUUUUUGUGUUUACAUCCUUCUGCUGGAUUCCUGGUGCUUCCGUCCACCGUCUCCUACUGCGACAGACCUGCUUCUCCACCCUGAUUCCCCAUCUUGCUUCCCCAUCCUGGACACCACUUGGUUCAACAACCAUUGACUUUGGACUUGCUUUUGAGGGAGGGCGGUAGGACGAGUGCACUCGUUUUAUUUCAUUUAAUUCCUUGGUUUAUUGGUCUUGUUUUUUUGGAGUUUUUUUCAUUUAUUGUUUUCCUGAGAUCUCAGAGUUUUGUUUUAAAUGUUCUUUCAUGAUCUGGAUAGACCUGUGUUCUGGUUGAAUUUGAACUAAAUUAUAGUAACUGAUUGUUGAAGAUAACUGAAGAUAAUUUCAUUUUCUUUUAUUAUUUCACUGCUAUUUUUUUUUUCCCCAGUAUUCAAUUUUAUUAUUUCUGAGCUGCUGAAAUUGCAAAAUUUCUAUUCUGCAUUUCAGUGAUUAUACUUCCUUUUAAAACUUUACAUUUUGUCACCGUGUGUUCUUUGGGGUGAAAUUUAUAUGUUUGCUUCCACAGACAGGCCAGCAUAAAGCCACCUCCUCUACGAGCCUAGGUCAGAGAUAACCCUUUACCUUUUUUUUUUUCCCUUUUCUUUUGUAGCACCUCACCCUGUCUAAGGUGACGGGUGCUAGAGAGGGUUACAUAUGGAAAGCAUAUUUGACCAAACUGUGCAUUUAAGCUCCGGAACAGCAUUUUUAAGAGCAGAAAAAUCAUGAAUGCUGCAUUAAUGUGAAGGUCAUGUUGAUACACAAAUGUCUUCUUCAGAAUGACUUCAGAUGUGAUAAAUAUGUAUGCAAAUGGUGUUUCAGGUGUUGUGGAUUGAAGAAAUUGCAGGAAACACAUAUCUCAGCAACAUGUGCAUUUCAGCUCAGGAACAGCAUUUGAAACGUAUAGAAUUCAUGAAAGCUGCGCGAUGGCACAUUGUAUUGUUUUCAAACACAUUUCUUCUUCAAAAUGAUUUGAAAUGUUGAUAGAUAUGAAGGCAAAUGAUUUUCAAGGUGUUCUGGUUUGAAGGAAUUGCAUGGACAGCAUAUUUGACCAAACUGUGCAUUUAAGCUCCGGAACUUCAUUUUUAAGAGCAGAAAAAUCAUGAUAUCUGCAUUAACGUGAAGUUCAUGUUGACACAGAAAUUUCUUUUAGAGACUGAGUUGAAAUGUUGAUAGAUAUGAAGGCAAAUGAGUUAUGAGGUUUUCUGGUUUGAAGGACUUGUAUGGACAGCAUAUUUGACCAAACUGUGCAUUUGAGCUCAAGACAUACAUUUUAAGAGCAGAAAAAUCAUGAAUGCUGCAUUAAUGUGAAGUUCAUGUUGAUACACAAAUGUCUUCUUCAGAAUGACUUCAGAUGUGAUAAAUAUGUAGGCAAAUGGUGUUUCAGGUGUUGUGGUUUGAAGAAAUUGCAGGGAACACAUAUUUCAGCAACAUGUGCAUUUCAGCUCAGGAACAGCAUUUGAAGCGUAUAGAAUUCAUGAAGGCUGCACGAUGGCACAUUGUUUUGUUUUCAAACACAUUUCUUCUUCAAAAUGACUUGAAAUGUUGAUAGAUAUGAAGGCAAAUGGUUUUCAAGGUGUUCUGGUUUGAAGGAAUUGCAUGGACAGCAUAGUUGACCAAACUAUGCAUUUCAGGUCAGUCACAGCAUUUUAGGAGCAGAAAAAUCAUGACAGCUAGAUCAACGCGAAGUUCAUGUUGACACACAAAUUUCUUCUUCAGAAUGAAUUGACAUGUGAUAAAUAUGUGGACAAAUGGUGUUUCAGGUGUUGUGGUUUGAAGAAAUUGCAGGGAACACAUAUUUCAGCAACAUGUGCAUUUCAGCUCAGGAACAGCAUUUGAAGCGUAAAGAAUUCAUGAAGGCUGCACGAUGGCUUUUUUUUUGUUUUCAAACAAAUUUCUUCUUCAAAAUGACUUGAAAUGUUGACAGAUAUGAAGGCAAAUGAUUUCUAAGGUGUUCUGUUUUGAAGAAAUUGCCUGUACAGCAUAUUUGACCUAAAUGUGUAUUUCAGCUCAGGAACAGCAUUUGAAGCGUAUAGAAUUCAUGAAGGCUGCACGAUGGUACAUUUUUUUGUUUUCAAAUAAAUUUCUUCUCCAAAAUGA